UUCUCAUACUCUUUUCUGCAAGAAUUCUGAAACAAAAAAGAUGGCAUACAAUCUUCAAUCCCUCAUCACCAUCCUACAACAAAUCCUCGAUCCCGAACAAACCCACUGGACUUUCGAUCACAACAAACCCCAACUCGAAUCACUGCUCCAAAAAGCUGAAUCUCUGAUGCAGAUUCUUGCAAAGUCUUCACCCUCCCAAAUAGCAACUUUGGAGGGUCAAAUCAGAGAUUCAACAUACAAAGCAGAAGAUCUUAUUGAAUCACACAUGGUUCAUCAAAUGCUUUCCAAAACCAAAAACAAUAUAUUGACAUUUUUCAAACCCAAAUCCAAGAGAUUGACCUUUUCCACACCUGAUCUGCAGCUAGUCACUCAAGACCUUCAUUCUGCAGUGGUUUCCAUGACGGAGAAGAUGCCGACUUCAUCAGAUUUGCAGCAGGCAACUCAACAACUUGAAUCUAUGACGCUCGUGGAAGUGGAGGAAAAGAGUGCUUCUUCCUCCAGAUCUAAGAGUUAUUUGGUGGGAGUUGAUGAAGAUCUGUUGGAGUUAAAGGAUCGUCUCACGAAUUCGGAGAAGAAGGUGAAGAUCAUACCCCUAGUUGGUAUGGGUGGUAUAGGCAAGUCCACCCUUGCUCGAAAACUUUACGAAGAUCCGCAUACUGCUUCUCACUUUAAUUAUCGUGGGUGGGCUGCGAUUUCGCAAGUUCCAAAUGUGCGGGAAAUUAUGUUGAGUCUUCUUCGUGGCCCGGAUGAAAAGGUCAGCAAUGAACUGAUUGGAUGCGGAGAAAAUGAGUUGAAAGAAAUAUUAUAUAAGAGAUUGUUUGGAAGAAGAUACAUGAUUGUGUUGGAUGAUAUAUGGAGCAAGAAAGUCUGGGACAAGAUAAGGAUGCAUUUUCCGGAUAAUAAUAACGGGAGUAGGAUUGUGAUCACCACUAGGGAUUCUGAAGUGGCGGAACAUGUUGCAGGCUCGCAGAGUCUGCAUCAUGUGCAGUUGCUAGACGAGUUUGCAAGUUGGGAUUUACUUUGCCAGAUUGUUUUUGGGGAAGAGGAUUGCCCUGACGAAUUGCAAGAGGUGGCAGCUAAGAUUGGGAGUGAUUGCAGUGGGCUUCCUCUUGCCAUUCAUGUGAUUGGAGGGCUCUUGUCAAAGGUUGAACGAUCAAGAGAUGUAUGGGAGAAUCUUUCAACCUAUGUAAAAGCUUCAAUUAUUGAAUCGGACGAGCAUUUCUCCAAUAUACUAUCCUUGAGUUAUAAUCACUUGCCGAUUCACUUGAAACCGUGUUUCUUGUAUAUGGGAGCUUUUCCAGAAGAUUAUGUGAUUAAGGGAUCUAGGCUUAAGAGUAUGUGGAUAGCUGAAGGAUUUGUGAAAUCAAAUGGCGAGAGGAGUUUGGAGGAAGAGGCUGAGGAUCACUUAAAAGCUUUAGUGGAGAGGAAUCUAAUUUUGGUUAGAUGGAAAAAAACCAAUGGGAAACCACAGAGUUACUCAAUCCAUGAUCUGUUGAGGGAUUUGUGCAUAAGGAAGGCUAAUGAGGAGAAGUUUUUAAAAGUCAAGAAUUCCAUUCGCCAUGUAAGUGUUCAGUCAUCAUAUGAAAUGGAAGUUGUGCAUGCUUUACCCCAAUUGAUGUCAUUUACUCGAUCUUUUAUAUGCACUGACGAGGUUAGUUUUUCUCCUGUCCUUUCCAUAUUAAGAUUGGUUAGGGUGCUAGAUGUAAUGGAAAUGGUAUUCGAGGAGUUCCCAGAAGAAAUAUUACAACUUGUGAACCUACGUUACUUAGCCUUCUCCUGCACUUCGGGUUUACCUAUUGGAAUAUCAAGAUUGUGGAAUCUGCAAACCUUGAUUUGUGGACAAACGACGGAGCUUCAUUUGCCAUCUGAAAUAUGGGAGAUGUCUGAGUUAAGACAUCUCAGGUUGCUCACAUCAAUUGAAAUUGAGGAAGGAUACAAGAUAAGAUUUGUUCAUAAGAGGCUGCAGUCAAUUUACAGUGUUUGGAUAACUCCUUCACUGAUUAGGAAUGGUUUCUUAGAGAUAAUCCCAAAUGUCAUAAAGUUAGGAAUCUUUUACAUCGACACACCCAACAUUGAUAUUGAUCUUAGCCAUCUUCACAAACUUGAAAAUUUAAGAUGUGAUUCUGAGUUGGAUGAAGAUGGUAGCCGUUUUCUGAACAAACUAAGAUUUCCAUGUAGUAUCAGAAAGUUAUCAAUAUUUAAAUGUGUAGUAUCUCGGAGUUUCUUGACAGCUCUGUGUGGACUACCGAAUCUGGAAGUGCUCAAAAUAGUGAAUUGUGUGUUUGAAAGAGACGGAGAGGCAGAGGAAGAAGAGUGGGAGGUGACAGAAGGAGAUGGAUUCCGUUCAUUGCAGUUUCUGCACCUCCAGUCCUUAAAUAUAGUGCGAUGGAGAGCCAACGAGACCAACUUCCCUAAACUCCGUGAGCUGCAACUAACCAGAUGCAAAGAGCUAGAGGAAAUCCCCUGUGACAUUGGAGAUAUCCCAACUCUCCAAGAAAUUUACAUAGAAGAAUGUGACGCUUCUGUAGUGGCUUCAGCACAACAAAUUCAAAAGGUGCAGCAAGACGAGUACGACAACUAUGACCUCAAAGUGUUUAUUUAUGAUUAGAAGCCAAAAGGUAAAAAUGCAAAAAAGAAUGCUCCAUCUGUUCAUACAAACAAUCUUGUCCUUAAUUUGUUGAUCCCGACUUCUGAUUAUUAAACUGUAUGUCUUCUGUAUGGUGUAUCAUCUUCUGCAACUAGGAUAGUUUCAGCAACGCGCAAGCUGAACAUAUGCACUGCAAUAGAAGUGUUUCGGAGUUUCUUGGCAACUCUAUGUGGACUACCGAAUCUGGAAGUGCUCUCAAUAUGCCAAUGUGUGUUUGAAAGAAACGGAGAGGCAGAUGAAGAAGAGUGGGAGAUGACAGAAGGAGAUGAAUUCCGCUCGCUGCAGUGUCUGUGCCUCGAUUCCUUAAAUAUAGCGCGUUGGAGAGCCAACAAGACCAACUUUCCUAAACUCCUGGAGCUGCAUGUAAAAGAAUGCAAUGAGCUGUAUUGGAAACAUCCCAACCCUCCAAACAAUUUUAGUAUGUGGAUGUGGCUCUUCUGUAGUGUCCUCGGUGCAAGAAAUUCUGAGGGUUCAGCAAGAGGAGUACGACAACUACGACAUCAAAUUGAUUAAACAAGAUUAGAAGCCAAAAGUGACAUUGGAGAUAUCCCAACUCUCCAAAUAAUUGGCAUACGUGGAUGUGGCGCUUCUGUAGUGGCCUCAGCUCUACGAAUUAAGAAGGUGCAGCAAGAGGAGUACAACAUCUACGACCUCAAAGUGCGUAUAGAAAAUUAGAAGCCAAAAGGUAAAAAUGCUGAACUCCGAGCAAUCAAAAGCAUGCUCCAACUGUAUGGUGUAACGUUUCCUGCAACUCGGAUAGUUUUAGCAACACGCAAGAAUCACUCAUGGCUCAAGCCAAACGUAUGCACUGAGCAUAUUCAUGUUUGUAAGAUUUAGAUUUGGCAUUGUCUAGCUAUAUAUUAGCGUGUACUCUUGUUUUUUUUGGUCUUUUUUUUUCA
Non-coding RNA from Salvia hispanica, 3546 nucleotides. The record is from RefSeq and is a predicted model, not a curated record. Lineage: Eukaryota; Viridiplantae; Streptophyta; Magnoliopsida; Lamiales; Lamiaceae.